UUUUAAAUAUAGACUUAGGAAUAGUGAAUUCUGGCAUAAAAAUUUAAUAUGAUAAACUUUUUUUUCUUUUACAUUGUAAGUACCCAAUCCAUUCUGUCCUUACUAAAGUGUAGUUUUCAUGUUAAUGUUACUGGAGUUGUCCUUAUUUCUGAGCCUUCAUUUGCAUGUCUUAUGUUUUUUUGUCUGUUUUAGCUAAAACAAUUUUAUGCUUUUAAAAUAUUUUAGUUAUAAAGCAAAAUAUCUGGCGAGAGAUGUUUUUAAAAUGUUUACAUACAGUAAAUGUUAACCAGGUGUAUUCACACUAACAUGUACAGACUAAAAUAUUUGGGGGGAACAUUUUUGAGUUUGUGUAGUCUGGAGAGCCAGUGGCUGUUCUUUUAAUGUAGAGUAAAUCUGUCACAGGAACCUAGAUUUAAGCCUCGAGUUCUAAGGAUACUGUCAGUUACCAUAACUGGACAACAUUUUCUAUAGCUUUUUGAUGCUACACCAUUGCCAGAUAAAGAUCUCUAAAUGUCUUAACAAGAUACGUUUUGGCUUGCAAAUGUACCAGAGAAGUGGGGAUACAGAUUAUAUAGCUCUAUAUUUAUAAAUCUGUUUUUUAAAAAGCUAAACAACACAACUUCACCUUCAGAACUGCAUUCAUCAGUGGUGAGCGGGGAGAUGACUGGCCGCCCCCCCUUUGUGAGGCUCGUGGAAAGUGAAGAAGAGAAACUUCCAGAUUGCAAGACAGCUCUAAUCCCCGAACUCGAGUAAGCUCUCUCCACACCUCCAGAGAGCUGCGGCCUGCUCAUUUUCUCCACUCCCUCUGAGAGGAGUCGGUGAUGAUGAGCAGAGCUCACUUUACUUCCCAACACCUUCCUUGCCGGUGAAGUCCUUCCUUUUCUGUGACUCCUCUCUCUCAACUGAUCAAUAAUAUGCUGAGGUCUCUUUCUCCUGAGAGGGCUCUGUAAACCAGCCUCCUGAGAGAGAUGCUCUCAAGGACCAGGACUGCAUACCAAAAACAAAGAAACAAAAACCCCAAAACCUGUCUCCGUCGUCAGUUUCUUCUCCUAACUGAAACAACCUGCAGGACUCUGGAAAUUAGCUAACCACUUGGGAGAAAAAGAGAUAUAUAUUACUUUCAGUCUUUACAAUGGAGAGAAUGCUGCUAUUUACAUUUUUCCAAAUCUCCUACCUGGGUACUUAUAUGGCCCCACCACCACUGUAAUAUCACCUCCUUUUCCCUGUUCAGUUCUCUGUAUAUGAACCGAUGUCUUCCUUGAAACAUCACUGACUCCAAGGGCAUGAGAUAAUUCACUGGUAGUGAAAGUGGUUUUUGCAUGCAGUCUCGAAGGCCAUCUAGUGACACAACUAUGCAAGAAGAAAUGUCAGACCCCAUGUGAACUGUAAUUUAAAAAAAAAAAAAAAGUAAAAUUGGGGAAUGAUAAACUCAACAGUUCUGUUGGUGGAUUGUUACCCCUUACACAGGUAAUAUUUCAGAAAGUUUUAGGGGUGAGCAAAAUUUCCCAAGGAAUUUAGAUUUGCAUAGUAAAUGGGAGAAGAGUUGAGACACUUCACUCCAGGGAGCAAGUGGUUCAUCUAUGCUAGGUAUAGGACUUAGUCCCUACAGAGAAUGGGGCUCAAUUUUGAUCUCAAUUACUACAUUGUAAAUGCAGAGUAACUCCAGUGAAAUGCAAGAUCAGGGCCAUAUUUAUCAUCUUAUCCCUUUGGUUCUUACCUUUAAACAGAUGCUACUUAUGUGUGUAUAAUUAAGUCUGUGCAUAAACGUUAACAGGGUUUGGUCUAUGUAACUGAAAUAAACACAAUAUUAGAGCUAAAUUUGAUGACAGUAAGGUUAGUAUUGUACCAAUAACUUUGAACACAGUUGAUGUUUCUUAAUUUAAGACUAGGGCACCUAAGUACCAUGGUGAUAGAUGCAUUAGAAAUUAAUAAAGUGAGCCACAUGAAUCUCUGGUGAAAUACUGAAGUAAUCUGGAAUUUCAUCAAGGAUGAACUUGACAAAUCAGUAUGUUACCUUCAUUGUCCUAACAGCUAUUCUUUUCACCUGUGAUAUCGCAUCCUGAAGAGGUGUGUCAGAUAUAAAUAUUUUUGGCUGCUUUUAUUUCUGGAGAGAGUAAAAACCAUGUUGCUUCUCGAACAAGUGUUUCCUGCAGCUGCCAGAGACUUUAAACAAAUAAAAUACAUGUUUAAAGGCCAAGGAAAUGCUCUUGAGAAGAGAAAUAUGCACCUUCUGUAUUUGAAAAGUAUACGACCAGUAUUACUGUUGGCAACAAAGAAGUAAUUCUGAAUUUGUAUGACACU
Gopherus evgoodei (Goodes thornscrub tortoise) is the source of this 2301-nucleotide RNA transcript. It is a transcript of the gene named ras homolog family member F, filopodia associated, with no coding region annotated. NCBI's taxonomy places the organism in Eukaryota, Metazoa, Chordata, Testudines, Testudinidae. The record is from RefSeq and is a predicted model, not a curated record. The transcript has 8 exons.